RNAcentral lists this ribosomal RNA (624 nucleotides) under Bacillus subtilis. RNAcentral describes it as "bacterial SSU rRNA". It matches the Rfam family "Bacterial small subunit ribosomal RNA", at positions 558 to 1183 of the family's 1533-position model. Lineage: Bacteria; Bacillati; Bacillota; Bacilli; Caryophanales; Bacillaceae. The record is from RNAcentral.
GCGUAAGGGCUCGCAGGCGGUUUCUUAAGUCUGAUGUGAAAGCCCCCGGCUCAACCGGGGAGGGUCAUUGGAAACUGGGGAACUUGAGUGCAGAAGAGGAGAGUGGAAUUCCACGUGUAGCGGUGAAAUGCGUAGAGAUGUGGAGGAACACCAGUGGCGAAGGCGACUCUCUGGUCUGUAACUGACGCUGAGGAGCGAAAGCGUGGGGAGCGAACAGGAUUAGAUACCCUGGUAGUCCACGCCGUAAACGAUGAGUGCUAAGUGUUAGGGGGUUUCCGCCCCUUAGUGCUGCAGCUAACGCAUUAAGCACUCCGCCUGGGGAGUACGGUCGCAAGACUGAAACUCAAAGGAAUUGACGGGGGCCCGCACAAGCGGUGGAGCAUGUGGUUUAAUUCGAAGCAACGCGAAGAACCUUACCAGGUCUUGACAUCCUCUGACAAUCCUAGAGAUAGGACGUCCCCUUCGGGGGCAGAGUGACAGGUGGUGCAUGGUUGUCGUCAGCUCGUGUCGUGAGAUGUUGGGUUAAGUCCCGCAACGAGCGCAACCCUUGAUCUUAGUUGCCAGCAUUCAGUUGGGCACUCUAAGGUGACUGCCGGUGACAAACCGGAGGAAGGUGGGGAUGAC